GAGGAAGUAAAAGUCGUAACAAGGUUUCCGUAGGUGAACCUGCGGAAGGAUCAUUACUGUGAUUUUAACAUUUACACUGCGUGAGCGCACACAACACCUAAACAUAUGUGGCGAUUGUCAACUACAACUAAACAAACCAAAACUUUCAACAACGGAUCUCUUGGUUCUCGCAUCGAUGAAGAGCGCAGCGAAAUGCGAUACCUAGUGUGAAUUGCAGCCAUCGUGAAUCAUCGAGUUCUUGAACGCACAUUGCGCCCUCUGGUAUUCCAGGGGGCAUGCCUGUUUGAGCGUCGUUUCCUUCUUGCGCAAGCAGAGAUGGUGGGGGGCCGGUGUAAGCCGCCGCCUGCUGAAAAGAAACGAUGCGGCCGGAGCGAACUAAAACAGGUUGCGCUUGGCCGCCGGACUUUAAUACUAAGCUCGACCUCAAAUCAGGUAGGAAUACCCGCUGAACUUAAGCAUA
This 460-nucleotide ribosomal RNA is filed under the name Pichia rugopelliculosa. Its description in RNAcentral is "eukaryotic LSU rRNA". The stretch from base 141 to 293 matches the Rfam family "5.8S ribosomal RNA". Lineage: Eukaryota; Fungi; Ascomycota; Pichiomycetes; Pichiales; Pichiaceae. The record is from RNAcentral.